This 764-nucleotide ribosomal RNA is filed under the name uncultured bacterium. RNAcentral's name for it is "bacterial SSU rRNA". It matches the Rfam family "Bacterial small subunit ribosomal RNA", at positions 8 to 796 of the family's 1533-position model. The record is from RNAcentral.
AGAGUUUGAUCCUGGCUCAGGAUAAACGCUGGCGGCGUGCUUUAUGCAUGUAAGUCGAACGAUCUCAAUUUAUCGGGAUAGUGGCAAACGGGUGAGUAACACAUAAGUAACCUGCCCCUAAGUAGGGGAUAACUCCGAGAAAUCGGAGCUAAUACCGUAUGUGGUGGUGGAGGUAAUGCUUCACCACUAAAGCCUUCGGGCGCUUGGGGAGGGGCUUGUGUCCGAUUAGCUAGUUGGUAGAGUAACGGUUUACCAAGGCGAUGAUCGGUAGCUGGUCUGAGAGGAUGGUCAGCCACACUGGGACUGAGACACGGCCCAGACUCCUACGGGAGGCAGCAGCAAGGAAUUUUGUGCAAUGGGCGAAAGCCUGACACAGCGACGCCGCGUGGGGGAUGAAGGCCUUCGGGUUGUAAACCCCUUUUCUCAGGGAGGAAUAAUGACAGUACCUGAGGAAUAAGCCACGGCUAACUACGUGCCAGCAGCCGCGGUAAAACGUAGGUGGCGAGCGUUAUUCGGAUUUAUUGGGCGUAAAGAGGGCGCAGGCGGCUUUUCAAGUCGGGUGUAAAAUCUCCCAGCCUAACUGGGAGGGAUCAUUCGAUACUGUUAGGCUAGAGGGCAACAGGGGGAGGUAGAAUUCCCGGUGUAGUGGUGAAAUGCGUAGAUAUCGGGAGGAAUACCAGUGGCGAAGGCGGCCUCCUGGGUUGUUACUGACGCUGAUGCCCGAAGGCGUGGGGAGCGAACAGGAUUAGAUACCCUGGUAGUCC